AAGUCCAGGAGCCAGUGCCGUAGAGGAUGUGGAAGCAGGAAGGGAGCCAAGGCAUCUUGUGAAGUUUUACUGAGUGUGGGAAUCUUGCCCAGCCUCUGACAUCAUACAGGCUGAUGACACCGAUCAGGUUGCCCUUGUGUGGACCACGAGAAAGACAAAGCUAAUACAAAAUUUGUGGGGAACUGUGAAUGAACAGCUGACUCAUUGGCAAAGACCCUGAUGAUGGGAAAGAUUGAAGGCAGAAGGAGAAGAUGGUGACAGAGGAUGAGAUGGUUGGAUGGCAUCACUGACUCGAUGGACAU
Long non-coding RNA from Cervus elaphus (red deer), 302 nucleotides. RefSeq lists it as uncharacterized. The record is from RefSeq and is a predicted model, not a curated record. The transcript has 3 exons. NCBI's taxonomy places the organism in Eukaryota, Metazoa, Chordata, Mammalia, Artiodactyla, Cervidae.